AGAAAGGGGCUUCGGCCCUGAGUAAAGCGGCGGACGGGUGAGUAACACGUAGGUAAUCUUCCCUUGAGCGGGGGACAACGGUCCGAAAGGACCGCUAAUACCGCAUACGUUUCCAGAGGCCCCGGUUUCUGGAAGGAAAGCUAGGCCGCAAGGUCCGGCACUCGAGGAGGAGCCUGCGUCGCAUCAGCUAGUUGGUGGGGUAACGGCCUACCAAGGCGAAGACGCGUAGCUGGUCUGAGAGGAUGAUCAGCCACACUGGGACUGAGACACGGCCCAGACUCCUACGGGAGGCAGCAGUGGGGAAUAUUGGACAAUGGGCGCAAGCCUGAUCCAGCCACGCCGCGUGAGUGAUGAAGGCCCUCGGGUUGUAAAGCACUUUUGUUCGGAAAGAAAUCUGCCGGGCUAAUACCCUGGCGGGAUGACGGUACCGAAAGAAUAAGCACCGGCUAACUACGUGCCAGCAGCCGCGGUAAUACGUAGGGUGCAAGCGUUAAUCGGAAUUACUGGGCGUAAAGCGUGCGCAGGCGGCGCUGCAAGACAGAUGUGAAAUCCCCGGGCUUAACCUGGGAACUGCAUUUGUGACUGCAGUGCUAGAGUGUGUCAGAGAGGGGGUGGAAUUCCACGUGUAGCAGUGAAA
RNAcentral lists this ribosomal RNA (637 nucleotides) under uncultured bacterium. RNAcentral's name for it is "bacterial SSU rRNA". It matches the Rfam family "Bacterial small subunit ribosomal RNA", at positions 69 to 686 of the family's 1533-position model. The record is from RNAcentral.